Molecule: ribosomal RNA, 215 nt
Filed under: uncultured bacterium
Lineage: Bacteria
Description: partial 16S ribosomal RNA
Rfam family: Bacterial small subunit ribosomal RNA
Source: RNAcentral
UCCCAGUUCGGAUUGUAGUCUGCAACCCGGCUACAUGAAGCUGGAAUCGCUAGUAAUCGCGGAUCAGAAUGCCGCGGUGAAUACGUUCCCGGGUCUUGUACACACCGCCCGUCACACCAUGGGAGCCGGAAAUGCCCGAAGUCAGUGACCCAACCGCAAGGAGGGAGCUGCCGAAGGUGGAGCUGGUAACUGGGGUGAAGUCGUAACAAGGUACC